RNAcentral lists this long non-coding RNA (245 nucleotides) under Physcomitrium patens. RNAcentral's name for it is "long non-coding RNA (PPAT_LNC013895)". Lineage: Eukaryota; Viridiplantae; Streptophyta; Bryopsida; Funariales; Funariaceae. The record is from RNAcentral.
GUACUGAUAUAUCUUUAGCAACUACCACACCAAAAUUCAACUGUAAAUUCGUCUUAGGUCUUGUGAUAUCUUGAAAACCCUAACUGUAGCUUCAAACCCUAGCUUUUUUACACCCGUGUACAACUUCCUUUAUAUCUCACAAAGUAAUUAUUCAAAUACUAUGAAACUUUGAUCUAAAGCUUCUUAACCCAAUUACACACACUUUGUCACGGACACAAAAUACAGACUUGAAAUCUAACAAGAAG